CAGCCGCCACGGGAAUACAGAGGGUGCGAGCGUUAAUCGGAUUUACUGGGCGUAAAGCGUGCGUAGGCGGCUUCUUAAGUCGGAUGUGAAAUCCCUGAGCUUAACUUAGGAAUUGCAUUCGAUACUGGGAAGCUAGAGUAUGGGAGAGGAUGGUAGAAUUCCAGGUGUAGCGGUGAAAUGCGUAGAGAUCUGGAGGAAUACCGAUGGCGAAGGCAGCCAUCUGGCCUAAUACUGACGCUGAGGUACGAAAGCAUGGGGAGCAAACAGGAUUAGAUACCCCUGAGUCCCUGUCUCUUAUACA
This 301-nucleotide ribosomal RNA is filed under the name uncultured bacterium. RNAcentral's name for it is "partial 16S ribosomal RNA". It matches the Rfam family "Bacterial small subunit ribosomal RNA", at positions 509 to 808 of the family's 1533-position model. The record is from RNAcentral.